GAUCAUGGCUCAGGAUGAACGCUGGCGGCGUGCCUAAUACAUGCAAGUAGAACGCUGAAGGAAGGAGCUUGCUCUUUCCGGAUGAGUUGCGAACGGGUGAGUAACGCGUAGGUAACCUGCCUGGUAGCGGGGGAUAACUAUUAGAAACGAUAGCUAAUACCGCAUAACAGUAGAUGUUGCAUGACAUUACUUGAAGGUGCAAUUGCACCACUACCACGAUGG
Molecule: ribosomal RNA, 222 nt
Filed under: uncultured bacterium
Lineage: Bacteria
Description: partial 16S ribosomal RNA
Rfam family: Bacterial small subunit ribosomal RNA
Source: RNAcentral